Molecule: ribosomal RNA, 252 nt
Filed under: uncultured bacterium
Lineage: Bacteria
Description: partial 16S ribosomal RNA
Rfam family: Bacterial small subunit ribosomal RNA
Source: RNAcentral
UACGUAGGGGGCGAGCGUUAUCCGGAAUUAUUGGGCGUAAAGAGUACGUAGGUGGUUUCCUAAGCAUGGGGUUUAAGGCAAAAGCUCAACUAUUGUUUGCCUCAUGAACUGGGUUACUUGAGUACUGGAGGGGAAAGUGGAAUUCCUAGUGUAGCGGUGAAAUGCGUAGAUAUUAGGAGGAACACCAGUGGCGAAGGCGACUUUCUGGACAGUAACUGACACUGAGGUACGAAAGUGUGGGGAGCAAACAGG